This is a non-coding RNA of Loxodonta africana (African savanna elephant), 78 nucleotides long. The record is from the annotation of a RefSeq genome assembly. Lineage: Eukaryota; Metazoa; Chordata; Mammalia; Proboscidea; Elephantidae.
GUCUGAUGAUCCUCAAUGGCCUGGGGUGCAGGCUUCAAACCUGUAGCUGUCUAGCAACAGAGUGUCGCCUUUUGGGCG